This 1899-nucleotide long non-coding RNA is filed under the name Mus musculus (house mouse). Its description in RNAcentral is "predicted gene, 46781". Lineage: Eukaryota; Metazoa; Chordata; Mammalia; Rodentia; Muridae. The record is from RNAcentral.
GGCAAAGCCUUCAGAGACCAUGACUGCUGAGCUGGAAACCCAAGAGGCCCAGAAAGCCAGUGUGCAAUGCUCUGCCCUAAAGAUGGGGCUGUGUGAGAGUGAGGGUGUCGGUAUUCCUGGACGUCGGUGACAAGAGCGUCUGGAAGAUGUAACUUACGUUAGGGGAAGGGCUGUUUCCUCUGGACUUCGGAAGAAUCAGACUGAGCAAAUUCCUGUGCCUCUUAUAUGAGCCACGCAAGCCACCACAGCCCCCUUGGACAGGGUCCAGGCUCUAGUGUCCCGCUGGAAAGGAUACUGUGCUGCAAGCCCCAUCCCACCCCAGUGAAGACAUGGCUCUGAAGAGUGGCACUGAAGCAAAGCAGCCUCCCUGCGGGUCAGUAGGAGAAAUAAGUGUCCAUCUCAUUUGUAUGCGUGGCACCUGCAAUCACAAUGACUUGCUUUUAUCAUUUCAUUUGUCCCAUACUGUACUUUAAAAUAAUGUAUUUUCAUAAUGUGUGUGUGUGUGUGUGUGUGUGUGUGUGUGUGUAUUCCUUUAUGUAGGAAUAGGCAAAUUUGCAUAUGCAGAUAGGAAUGCACACAUUUGCAUACUUAGAUAGAAACACAUUUGCAUAUGUAGAUGACAAAAGUUGACAUUGUGUAUCUUCUUCAGUAGCUCUCCAUCUUGUUUUUUGAGACAGGGUCUCUCACUGAACCUGGAGGUCACUGAGGCAGCUAGACUGACUGGCCGCCAAGAGCUUGGGAUUACAGGGAGACCUUGCCUGGCGUUUUGCAUGGGUGCUACAUAUCUAAACUCAGGCCUUUGCACUCGGAUGUCAAUCACUUUAUCCGCUGAGCCACCUCUCCUCAGCUCUAAGUACUGCACCUCUUUUAAAGAGCUGUGUAGUAAAAAAUACCACCAACCCCAGCUUGGAGCAAGAACCAAAUGUGGCAUCCAACAAGGCUGGUGGCACACAUGAGGAGGCUGGGCUUCAACCUAUGCAUUUCUGUCAUGGCCAAUGUCGCAUGAAGGUCACUGUAACAAAGAGAAUAAGGACACCUGCCAUAAGUUUGCAAGCUUUCUAUAAAUCUAAAAUAAUUCCAAAUAAAGACAAUUAUCAUCUCUAUAUUUACCCACGUGUUUAAUAACAACAAUAAUAACUAUUAUUGUCACUAGUAGGAGUUCCUUCUGAAGUUACAAAAAAUAGGUUAUAAAAACAAAAAAAAAAAUGUACUAAGUAUAAGUAUCCAUAGGGCUUUGCAGACCAAUAUUGAGAAGCAACAGGCCAGGCCUGCACAUCUGUUAUUUGCCAUACAUCAUACAACAAAGUAGGUGACACAGGGGUUGUUUUCUCUAGCCCCAAACCCCUGUAAACACAAUGAUGCCAGACAGCAGAGAGAGGGACACACCAUACUGCUACAACAGAGUCUCAGUGAACCCAGCAUAGGCAGAACCUCAAAAGACAGGAUCCUUCUGACCCAAAAAUAGACAGCUACACACCCCCAUGUACCCUCUUACCUCCUCUAACCUGUGUCCCCAACCCAUCGCUGGCCAGCCAAGGCUGUUUGGGAAAUAGAUGCCCCCAGGGCUCAUUUUGGAACAGUUCUCUCCACAUUGGCAAGCUAACUUCAUCAAGAAAGCUGUGGCGGGUGCUCUGGGGGAAAGGUACAAUGGCCACCUCCCGGGGCUGGUACACCAAUGUUCUUCUGCAGGUAAUUGCCUAAGCUAUCGCUGUGGGCUAUGUGCACACGGUGCCACCUGUAAUGAAAGUGGCUGAGUGACAGCUGAAAAGCCAGGGGAGAGCAGAGUGUUUAUUUCCAUAAGAUUGUGUCUCUGUUUAGGAAGCUCUGAUGUAGCUCCCGAGCUCCUGGCUCUCCCAUUUCUAAUCACAGAGUGUAAAAAUAAAAUUGUUUCUUUCAGUA